GGCUGCCUCCGGGCAGGCCCGGACAUGUGUAGUCAGGCUCAUAACCUGAAGGCCGCAGGUUCAAAUCCUGCCCCCA
This 76-nucleotide transfer RNA is filed under the name Rhizobium viscosum. Its description in RNAcentral is "tRNA-Met". Lineage: Bacteria; Pseudomonadati; Pseudomonadota; Alphaproteobacteria; Hyphomicrobiales; Rhizobiaceae. The record is from RNAcentral.